This 427-nucleotide ribosomal RNA is filed under the name uncultured bacterium. Its description in RNAcentral is "partial 16S ribosomal RNA". It matches the Rfam family "Bacterial small subunit ribosomal RNA", at positions 355 to 774 of the family's 1533-position model. The record is from RNAcentral.
UGGGGAAUAUUGCACAAUGGGCGCAAGCCUGAUGCAGCCAUGCCGCGUGUAUGAAGAAGGCCUUCGGGUUGUAAAGUACUUUCAGCGGGGAGGAAGGGAGUAAAGUUAAUACCUUUGCUCAUUGACGUUACCCGCAGAAGAAGCACCGGCUAACUCCGUGCCCGCAGCCGCGGUAAUACGGAGGGUGCAAGCGUUACUCGGAAUUACUGGGCGUAAAGCGCACGCAGGCGGUUUGUUAAGUCAGAUGUGAAAUCCCCGGGCUCAACCUGGGAACUGCAUCUGAUACUGGCAAGCUUGAGUCUCGUAGAGGGGGGUAGAAUUCCAGGUGUAGCGGUGAAAUGCGUAGAGAUCUGGAGGAAUACCGGUGGCGAAGGCGGCCCCCUGGACGAAGACUGACGCUCAGGUGCGAAAGCGUGGGGAGCAAACA